GGGCCGGUAGAUCAGUCGCAGAUCGCCCGCCUCGCACGCGGGAGGCCGCGGGUUCAAGUCCCGCCCGGUCCACCA
This 75-nucleotide transfer RNA is filed under the name Candidatus Methanomethylicaceae archaeon. RNAcentral's name for it is "tRNA-Ala". It matches the Rfam family "tRNA". From Rfam's summary of the family: Transfer RNA (tRNA) molecules are approximately 80 nucleotides in length. The record is from RNAcentral. Lineage: Archaea; Thermoproteati; Thermoproteota; Methanosuratincolia; Candidatus Methanomethylicales; Candidatus Methanomethylicaceae.